AAGACCAUCAGAAGGCCAUAGCAGAGAUGGCCUGGGCUAUGGAGGUGUCCUGGAGGACAUGAGAAACAAGUUGGAGGGUUACACUGGCAAGCACGUGGAGAUGUUAGGAAUCAGAUGUGUGAUGGGAGCAAGCAGGGGUAAAGCUGGAAAACUGGCAGCUCUCAUUGACAAGUAGAUGGGUGAUAUUGGCAAGCAAAGGAGUCACCUCAUGAAGCAAGUGGUGGUAUGUACACACAGAAAAAGAAAAAACGAAGCCACAGAAGCAGAGAGAGGAUGAGCUAAUUCAGAAGAUCCACAGACUGGUGCAGAAGAGAGACUUCCUGGUGGACGAUGCAGAGGUGGAAUGGUUAAGGGAGCAAGAAGAAGACAAGGAAAUGGCUGAUUUCCUGAGAAUCAAGUUAAAACCUCUAGAUAAAGUAACCAAAUUUCCAGCCAGUGAGUGUAUACAUUAUUCCUUCUCUUCCUCCAAUUCAAGAGAAAAAGAAAUUUAAAAGAGGUUUGGGAGCAAGAGAGGGCACAAGAAAUGCUUUCUAGAGGUUAAACGUGGGCACCGAUGGCAGCUGGCAAGGCCAGCCUUAUGGGUGUAUGACUUGUGCAACUGCCCCGGGGCCCCCUGCCUAGAAGGGCACUGUGUUUGCUUUGAUGCUCUGCUUUUGCUAUCUUGAAAUUCUUACUAAUUUUGGAAAAAGGGGCCUCAUAUUUUCAUUUUGCACUGGAUUCUGCAAACUGUGUAGCUGAUCCUGGCAGCAACUGUCACUUUCUAACCACAGGUUUGGUGUAUUUCAUAGAAGUAGCUGGUUGGCCCCUGAGGCAAGAAGGUGGGGGCUAAGGAUCAGGGAGCUCUGGCCUCUGGUGGAGCUGGAGUCUCUGGGGGACUCUAAUUCUCCAGAAUUACGCUUUUCAGAAUAUUAGCCUUACAAGGUACUCAGAGCAAAAAGGGUUCCAGGUGAAAUAAGGGUUCCAUUAGAAAAUGCUGUAUAUUUGACCCUCUAUUUAGGAGGGUCCCUCUAUUAGGAGGGACUCUAUUUGGAAGGUCUGUUCACAUAUUAAAGUG
Manis javanica (Malayan pangolin) is the source of this 1054-nucleotide non-coding RNA. NCBI's taxonomy places the organism in Eukaryota, Metazoa, Chordata, Mammalia, Pholidota, Manidae. The record is from RefSeq and is a predicted model, not a curated record.